GAGUUUGAUCCUGGCUCAGAUUGAACGCUGGCGGCAGGCCUAACACAUGCAAGUCGAGCGGAUGACGGGAGCUUGCUCCUUGAUUCAGCGGCGGACGGGUGAGUAAUGCCUAGGAAUCUGCCUGGUAGUGGGGGACAACGUUUCGAAAGGAACGCUAAUACCGCAUACGUCCUACGGGAGAAAGCAGGGGACCUUCGGGCCUUGCGCUAUCAGAUGAGCCUAGGUCGGAUUAGCUAGUUGGUGGGGUAAUGGCUCACCAAGGCGACGAUCCGUAACUGGUCUGAGAGGAUGAUCAGUCACACUGGAACUGAGACACGGUCCAGACUCCUACGGGAGCAGCAGUGGGAAUAUGGACAAUGGGCGAAGCCUGAUCCAGCCAUGCCGCGUGUGUGAAGAAGGUCUUCGGAUU
This 409-nucleotide ribosomal RNA is filed under the name bacterium enrichment culture clone ALO1_GLFRUDD03GZ1R2. Its description in RNAcentral is "bacterial SSU rRNA". It matches the Rfam family "Bacterial small subunit ribosomal RNA", at positions 9 to 424 of the family's 1533-position model. The record is from RNAcentral.